This 1867-nucleotide long non-coding RNA is filed under the name Callithrix jacchus (white-tufted-ear marmoset). Its description in RNAcentral is "lncRNA (ENSCJAG00000078308.1)". Lineage: Eukaryota; Metazoa; Chordata; Mammalia; Primates; Cebidae. The record is from RNAcentral.
AUGCCGGGAACUGCAGAGCCCCAAAGAGGUUGUACAGCCCUGGCUCAGAGAGCCCCUAGGUCUGGGCUCCCAGAAGCUUGGAGAUGCUGGGAACUGCAGAGCCCCAAAGAGGUUGUACAGCCCUGGCUCAGAGAGACCCUAGGUCUGGGCUCCCAGAAGAGCUGUAGCUCUUCUCUCCUUCUCAAUGUCCACAGUGUGGUGAGUGGGGGAUGUGUUUCUGCCCUGUUUGUCUUGCAGCUCUUCAAUCCCACUGUUUGGCAGGUACAGAGUUCUUGUCCCAUGUCCAGGAAGAAUAAAGUAGGACAACUGGAGGAGUCUGUCUGCCUCCUGCCAGCAUUGAUCAUGCCAUCCACGGUGCCCAAGGUAUUCAUUCUGAAGAGUACCUGCAGGCCUGCAUCAAGACACCCUUGGCCCCCCAAUUUGGCUUCCCUCUUGUGCUGCAGGCACUCAAAGUUCAGAGGGGGCUGGGGCAGCAAGGAGCUGGCAUGUCAGUGCUGCCCCAAGUGCACGCACACCUGGCCAGAUCAUGACAGUGCCCAGGCUCAGCUUCAACUUUGCUUUAAAAUCAGAGUGGGUGCCAGCAGUAGGGAGAGGCCAAGCAGCAGGAGGAAGCACUCCUGAGCCUGCAGGGGUAGAGGGGGACUUCCUGGGCCCCCAAGGGUGCAGGGAUGCUCAGGUCCAGUGCCAUGGCUGGGCAACUGCUGCUGCGCCCAGAAGGGCAGGGCUCCUACCCCACCAACUUGGAAGUGGGCGGGGCUUUGGCCUGUCAGCUCCCACCAUAUCUGUGGAGCCUGCAGUCGUGGCCACGCCUCUCCUGCUGCAGCCAGCAUCUUCCCAGCAGCUGCUACAGAUGGGCUACCACUGCUAUCAGUACCACACCUUUCUUUUUAAUCACUGUAGAUUUUUUAGUAGGUUUCAAAAUUGAGAAGUGUAAGUCCGUCCUCCAACUUUGUUCUUCCAUUUCAAGAUUGUUUUGGCUAUUUAGAGCCUAUUGCAAUUCCAUAUGAAUUUGAUGGGUUGUUUUUAAUUUCUUAAAAAGUGGCCAUGGAGAUUUUGGUGGGGAUUGCAUUGAAUCUGUACAUAUCUUUGGGUGGGAUUGACAUCUUAACAAUAUUAACUUUUCUAAUCCAUGAACACAAGAUGUCUUUUCAUAUAUGUAGGUCUUCUUUGAUUUCUUUCAGCAAUAUUUUAUUGUUUUCAUUGUACAGGUCAUUCACCUUCCUGAUUAAAUUUACUCUUAGGCGUUUUAUUCUUUUGGGUACUAUUAUAAGUGGUAUUGCUUUCUUAAUUUCCUUCCCAGAUUGUUCAUUGUUGGUGUAUGGAAACAUAAAUUAUUUUGGGAUGUUACAAAUUGUACCUUGCAACUUUUCAGAAUUUGCUUAUUACCUCCAGUAGCUUGUUUUUUGUAGACUAUUUGGAGUUUUCCAUAAUAAGAUCAUGUCAUCUGUGAAUAAAAAUAGUUUUACUUAUCCUCUUCCAAUAUGCCUACCUUUCAUUUUUUAAAAUUUUUCUUCAACACUUGCUCUGGCUAGGACUUUCGGUACUACAUUAAAGAGCAGUGAUGAAAACAGGCUUCCUUAUCUUGUUCUUUGUCCAUAAUGUCACCUCUCAGCUUUUAUUUUAAGAGUCUUUUGCCACAGAAUCCCUGGUUUCCCAGAGAGAGGACAGCAGCUUCCUUUGAAAUUGAGCCUUUGUAGCCAUGUGAACUCCCACCGCUCUAUCUUAAAAUAAGGAACCUGUAAGCCUUUAUAGAGACCAACCAUGCCUAUUCCUAUUCCCAAUAGUCAGUGAGAAAAGAAAGGGACAGAGCCUAGAAAACAGGCUGUGCUUGAUCUAUUGACAAUAAUAAUCAGACCUAACCAUGAAG